CCUACGGGUGGCUGCAGUGGGGAAUAUUGGACAAUGGGGGGAACCCUGAUCCAGCGACGCCGCGUGAGUGAAGAAGUAUCUCGGUAUGUAAAGCCCUAUCAGCAGGGAAGAAAAUGACGGUACCUGACUACGAAGCCCCGGCUAACUACGGGCCAGCAGCCGUGGUAAUACGGAGGGGGCAAGCGUUAUCCGGAUUUAGGGGGUGUAAAGGGAGCGUAGGCGGUGCAGCAAGUCUGAUGGGAAAGGUCGGGGGCCAACCCCGGGACUGCAUUGGAAACUGUUGGACGCGAGUGGGAGAGAGGUAUGCGGAAUGCGUGGUGUAGCGGUGAAAUGCAUAGAUAUUAGGAAGAACACCAGUGGCGAAGGCAGCAUGCUGGACUCAAACUGACGUUGAGGCACGAAAGCGUGGGUAGCGAACAGGAUUAGAUACCCGUAUAGUC
This 440-nucleotide ribosomal RNA is filed under the name uncultured bacterium. Its description in RNAcentral is "partial 16S ribosomal RNA". It matches the Rfam family "Bacterial small subunit ribosomal RNA", at positions 338 to 795 of the family's 1533-position model. The record is from RNAcentral.